RNAcentral lists this long non-coding RNA (9968 nucleotides) under Vitis vinifera (wine grape). RNAcentral describes it as "long non-coding RNA (VVIN_LNC000932)". The record is from RNAcentral. Lineage: Eukaryota; Viridiplantae; Streptophyta; Magnoliopsida; Vitales; Vitaceae.
CCACCAUAUCUCUACCCCACUUGCAAUUUGACGCACCAUUAUGUCGGCUGGGACCAGGACAAGAAAAUUGCACACCACUAGAUGGCUUCUCUUGACACACUGGAAACGCUAUAACCCCAGUAUAGCCAUGAGUUCCUUCUGGUUGAGCCAUAUUGAAAUGGUUCCUAUUGCUAAAAUGAGAAAAAUAACUACCUGACUUCUCUCUGCUGGAUCCUACAUUUUCAGCUGUUGUGAACAAACUAUUUCUUCCAUAGCUGGACUGAGGUUUUUGCCUGUGGCUGUUUUCCUCAUGCAACAAUCUGAAUGCCUCAUUAGCAUAUACUUUAGUGAAAUCCAGCAUUCCAGCAUUCCUUGUGUCAUUGGUUGUCUCUGAAAGAUGAUAAUCAUUUCUAGUUUCAGAAAGACACCUCUCGUACUGAUUUCUUGCCAUGAGUUCAACAAUUUCCAUAGGUAUGUCAUCUGAUGUUCCUUGUUCAAAUACUUCAUCAACUCUGUGGUCACUGUGCUUUCUAUUAGCUUCUGAAAGUUCUUGAAAUUCAAUGGCUUUCUCCGUGUUGCAUUUCCCAGAGAAAUCCUGUGAAAACGAUAAUCAAUACUACCCCAAACAGUACACUUCCAAAGUAAUGAAACAUCUAAAUUCUAAGCAUAAAAAGGGAUGACUAAAAAGUUAAAUUAAGCACAUACAAUCAAACAUUAUGCAGAACCUGCAUGAUAUAUUUAAACAUGCGCAUAUGCAUCCAUGUACCAUGAGAUUAGUGUCGUGCAAAAGGAGAUAUAAAACCCAACAACGGUAAGAAAACUAUCAUAAUUUGCUUCAACGUUGAAUGAUUCAAUCAGCACUGCAACAUAUUUAGGCCAUACCAACAUGCUUACACAUAGGACAAAUAAAACUCUUUCCUUAAUACAGAAAACAUGAUAGUCAUAGCAGAGUUCUCAACUAUGCGGGAUGGACUUGAUUUCCUCACUCACAAGGGUAAGGUGACUACACAUUUAAGCUAUUGACACCAUCAUGAAAAAUGACAUUAGAGUAAGAAAGAUAUUCAUAUUCUCUUUGGAAGGUGACAUUCAUAUUUUGCAUUUUCCUUCACCAAAAAAUUGAAUCCAUCUUUCCAUCUAUUUCCAUCCCACCCCCAGAUGAACGGACUACAAGAAUUUCUACCUUCACAACCAGUUCAGGAUUGGCUUCAAUUACAAAGAAAGGUGGUAAGAGCAUUUAUUGAAGUCAGAAAUUGAUCUCUACACAAAUAUUCCCUGUCUCAGUCAGGUGGUGUUUGUUUUUUUACUUAAUUCUAAAUAGAACCUUAAUACUUAAUAGUAUUAAAUAUUAGGUUGUUUGUUUUUGUAAUAUUUUAUUUCUAUUAAGUAUUAAAAAGUAAAAAAAACUAUUGUGUUAUUUUUUCUAUUUAGAAAAAGUCACAUAUUUUGGCUUUUUCUAUUUAGUAAAAAGUUUAUAAUAAGUCAUGAAAAAGUAAAAAAACAAACAACCUAAAUUCUAAAACUAAAUGGUUUUAAGCAAAAAGCCAAAAAAACAAACACCAGUUCAAUCUAUACGUGGCAAAACUAUUAGAAUUCAAACAAGAGGUUUCCUUUGUUAUUCUCAUGUUCAGACAAAAUAUUCUGUAGGACAAACCAUGUCAUGAAAAAAAAUUGCAUCUAGAUUACCAGUAAUGGAUCAUGUUGGGAGUAACGGAGGAGAGAGAGACAAAGCACCCCACACAUUUAUAAUAUAAAUGUUCUAAGGAAAAUAUCUUAUUCUAGCAAAUAAUAGUAUGAAAAGAAAGGCUCGUACCACUUUCUGCUUCAGAGAAGAAUCCCAAUCUUCAACCCUGGGGGAGCAGUUUUGUUUUUCACUCAGGAAAGGGAUUCCAUGAGCAGUUCUCUUACCAUUGAUAUCGGAAUUCACCCCUACCCCAAAUAAUCUAUCUGGUACGGGAAUAAAAGGGAUACUGCAAACUCCAAUAUGCUGUUUUCUUUCCACAUCUUUCCUCAUAACUACAUCUUGAACCGGUGCAACAUAUUUUGCAUCAUCUUUUCUCUGUGCAGCCAAGCUUUUGCCAAUCUUUUCCGGCGGAAUGAUCUUGUACUGAUUGAAAUGGAACAGUUUGAGGAGUAGACCGCAAACAUUCUACUUCCUUCCUUGUGAUUUGAUCUUUGCUGAUGACUCCACUUUUCCAAGGCAUUAAAGAAGCCUCCCUAUCUUCAACUAGAGGCAUCUUAUUUUUCUUCUUAGACAAAAUAGAUUUUCCCUCAGUUUGUUGUGCAGGCAAAUUUUUAAGAAAAGCCUCAGUCCUUUUACCCGUAAAUGCAUCAUGUGGUGAUUUGGACAAAACAGCAUCAGUAGGAUUGCCUGUGUCUGCAUCCCCAAUUUUGUCCUGAAUUUUUCUGCCAAUCGCUACUUGUGGAGGCAGUAAUGAAGAGCAUCCAUCAUCUACUGAGGUCUUCUUAUUCUUCUUCUUACUGGGACCAGAUAUUCUAUCAGUUUUGGGUCUGGUCCAACGAGUCUUUACACCAGUUUGUGAACCUAUUCCAGCAGGUCCAUCUUCUUCUGAUUCAGCAUUGUCAAUUGCAGUGUUGAUGUCAGUUAUUGAUGUCAGUUAUUUCCACAUCUCCUUUGAAUGUCCUAAAUUUUUUAUUCACAUCAUUUUGACAGCAUCUUCCUCUUCCUAUUCUGUCCCCUAAAACUUCUAGCAUUUCCACGGACAGCUACUUCACCUUGGGGAAUGGAAAGUGAAUAUAUGCUGGUAGAUGCAUCAAUCAUUGCAUUGGAGGUAGAAUUAUUUCCAUUUGCACCCAACAAGUCUGUCAGCAAACGCACCUUUUGAGAUUUUCUUCGACGCCAACCACUUGAAUUAUCAUGUUGUCGAUUAAAGCUAUUUUUAAUCAAAAUGUCAUCGCUCUCAGAUGAUGCUUGAUCUGAGUCAUCUAAUUCCAGUGGUGGAUGAUCCUUUUUAUGGACACUGACAGAGUUGAGAGCUUCAUCAACCACAUCAACUGCAGUGACUGCUUUGGACGAACCCCAAGCUGUCUUGUUCUGAUCAUCCAUUGAAGUGUGCUUUCCCAUUUGAUUGUUUCAGCAGAGCUGUUGAUCAUGGAUUAGAGUUUUCCAACAGUAACCCCAAUAUCAGCAACUUCAUAAACUCCAUUGCAGUUCAAUUCAAGAGCCACUGUUUCAGAAAAUAAAGUGUAAUUACUAUGACUGAACACAGCUAAGUUGCAAAGUUGCUUGGAGGCUUUGUGAUUCACAGUAAAAUUACCUGUGUCACCUGCCAUUUUUUCCACCAUCAGGCAUGGAUUCACUUUCGCUGCACCACAAGGUGGUUCAGGAAUGACCUGAUCUGCAUCAUCUUCUGAGCGAUUCUCAUCACCCGGAAGAAUAAAAUGAAUGAGUCAAACACGCUGAUAUGCUCAAUAAGAUGUUUAAGUAACAAAUUCAAUUGAAGUAUACAUAUGAUGAUGCUACAUGCAACCUCAGCUUGCUUUUCUUGCUUAUCACUACACAACGAAGCACGAUUUCUUCCCUCAGAAAUGUCCACAUUCAAAGCUCUUGGAUAAUCUAAGAGCAACACAGUCUCAGAACCAUGGGAUGUCAUGUGCAAACAAGUUCCAUUGGAUUUAUAUACAGUGUUAUUACAGCUAGGAACCGUUGCAAUUUCCUUCUCAGCAUCCUUGGUGCCAAUCUCCUGAAGACAGUUUUGGCAAUGCCACCGUCUAAAUUUGGGCAAGUCUAGAGGAGGAAGGAUGCAGGUUUGCUCCUCCAACUUAUUUUGGCUUUCAUCCAAGGCAAAAGGCCAACAAAUCUUCUCGUCUCUUUUCCGAACUUCAGCUACAUAUCCACUGCAUUCACAUUCAAAUGGACUUAUUAAGAAGUAAGCUACUUCCAGCUUACGAUGGUAUGUUUCAGUGGACAAAAGAAUAAAAUUUAAACUAAUUUUGCGUUUAAAGAAUAAAUAAAUAAAUAAACAAAUGGUAUAGCUCAGUUGCAUGUAUAAAGUACCAGAUCUUCGUAAGUUUAUAUCAACAAUAAUAGAGAAAAAAAAAAAGAAUUAAAAAUAAUAAAUUAUUUUAAUAUUCUAGUUCCAACUUAUAUUACUUAUUUUAUUCUUCUUAUGAAAAAUUAAAUAAUUUGAAAAUAUAUAAUUACUUUUUACUAAUUUUAAUUAUAUUUAUUUUUUUAUUGUAAAAUCUAACAUUAAAAAAGAAAUAUUAUUAUUAUUAUUAUUUAGUAUUUUAGGGUAACCAAACAUAAUAUUACUGCUACAGAUUUUGCUGAUUUCAACCACCAUGUGAAGAAACUGAGACCCAAAACCCCACAUUAACACUUGUGAGGUGGACCUGUACGUAUACAAUGGCCUUCUGAUUCGUUUCCUCGAGGCUAACGGUGAGAGGCGACAAUGUUCAGAAUGCCAAUACUGCAACCAGGACUAAAGGGGUACUUAUGCAAAACUCUGUGUUGUUUACAAGGAAAAGCUCGACUGAUUUUAUGUAGUCUGCGAGCUGAAAUGCAGUCAAUUUGGACAGCUGAUCACAGAACCCACCAAAUAUCCAUGCAUUCUCCACUGUAAGGCUGUUUGAAUUACUUUAAAAAAUAGAGAUAAUUUUGAGACUUUUUUUUAUAAAAAAUAAUCAAAUAAAAUCUGCUUUGUACGAUAACACCCAAGUCCAGUGGAACCCUAGCUCAGACCCAUUUUCGGAAUCCAAUUAUGUUCAGUCCAAAAUAGCUCAAACAUGGUCAAAGUCAUGCCAUCUUGCCAACCACAUUACGCCCAGAACGGUCUGAUAAGCAUUAAAGAUUUGAAAAAAAAAAAAAAAAAGGGAAAAAAAGAAAAGAAAAAAAUCAGAGUCCAAGAAUCUAUAGCUAUCACAAAUCUUGAACAUAAAGCUCAAUCACAUUAUUUUAUAACACUGAAUUCAUGACUAUAACGCCAUGAAAUAUUAUAAUUAUGUUCUCAUCUCAUCAUGAUCAUUUGGCUUGUUGGAGGAAUGGCACCAUUCAUCGAACUGUUGCCGCAUCUCCUCUUGAAUUUUGGCAACGACCCCAUUGUAUCCUGUAGGAAGUAUAUAUAUAUAUACCUAGAAAUGGAUCAAUGGAUCAUAGCCUUGAUUUUUAAGCUCUCUGAACUCCUGACACAAGGCACACAAGGCGCACAAGGCGGUCAGUCAAUGGCAUCUCGGCAAGUUGAUAAGCAUCUCUUACUCUUCGUCUAUACCGAACUCCAAUAUUCCAAUGAUUUAUUGCAAAGAACAAGUAGAAAUAAAGCGUUGCCCCAGUGACAUAACCUGCAAUUUGGAAUUCAGUGCCAAUUACUCAAGUGGACAAUAGAGAGGCAGAACUGCAAGGACUAAAAGAUUGUAGCUAGCUGUGUAUGAUUUGUAAUCUAAAAAUAAUAGGACACUUAGAAUAUUAUUUGCUCGGGUCUUUAAAACACAUCUAUAUAAGAAGAGUUCAUGCUUAGUAUCAAAAACUUUUUCUACUUUUCGGAACACCACGUGAUUGCUCGUGAAAAGACACCAGCAAAGAGUGGAAAACUAGAAUCUUGUCACUGUUUGGAAUGGUGAGACUUUUUCAAGCUUUCUUCUCUUUUUUUCUGACUACUCAAUGAGAAUCAUGCACUAAGACCAUUACUGAAAUUCAAUGGGAGAAAAAGGAGACUUACUCGUACUGCCAUUGUCCACUAUCUCAGCGAUUUGGCCGAAGGUCACGUAUGGUGCUACGGUUGUUAUCAUUGCUGCAUGCCCGAAAGAAAAAACGAAACAUAUAAUAGGGAUGAAAAAAAUAAUUUCCUAUGUCUAUCAGAGAUUCAGAAGUAAACUCCUUUAAUGUAUUUAGUCAUGGAGUGUUGCAUGAAAAUGGAACAUAUAUAAACCAUUGAUAGGGUGCUGGUAGCAGUCAAAGAGGCCACUGCUCCAGGGGUUGCCAACAGCCUGAAUAAGAAUCAGAUGUAUCUGUCCAGACUCCUGCCUUGUCACGGGCACGAGAGCAUUAGCACCGCCACCUCCAGCGCUACCCUCCAUCUUGUUAGCCUCUGGCAGCGGGGCGGCAUACAUCACAAGCUGGUCGUUUGGACGCGGCGGCUCAACCACUUGCAUUCUAGGCUGGGGCGGGAACGCUACUGCUGGGAUUGAGUCUAUCCCAUUCUCCAACUGUGGCUGCUGCUUCCUCACGUUUGCAGUUUCUGGUGCCAACUGCACUGGCUGGUUGCUUGAGGGUGGCGCGUGGCUGUCACUGGUCUGCGGUGGGAAGGUCACAGCAGGGGUUUUGUCUGUGUUCACCGUCAGGUGGAGGUGUCACGUGAGGCACGUGAUGAUCAUUCGUGUGAGGCUCGGCCGUGGGGUGUUGUGGGGGUUCCUGCUCCAUGUGUUGUGGUUGUUGAUGAUCAUCAUGAGCCGGGGAGGAGGUGGUAGUGUGGAAAUGAGGUGCAGGUGGUAAAGAUGGGGCUGCAUCUGUGUCGUCCGAUGAUAGGGGUUGCUGAUGAUCAAGAUUUGCUUCUGGGGUUGUUUCUAGUUUCCCCAUUUUCUCAAAAUCAACCUCCAUAGAAGAUAUCACCAAUCAGAUCGCCAUUUUCAUAUUGUUCUUCCCAAACCAUACAAGAAAUCCAACCGCACUCGGUGUGGAAACACCUCGUUUUAAUCCUUCAUAAAUUGAUCCGACUAAUGCAGAUGUCACCUUCAAAAAAAUGGAGGACUUAAUUAUCUUGGUGUGUAAUCUUAUUCAGGAAAGCGAAACAUUUUGAGGUUAUCAAAUCGGUUUUUCUGAUUGUCAUUUGUGUGAUAUUUACUAGACAAAUCUAUUUAAGCUUUUGUUUAAGGAUUGUAAAUGGCAGUUUGCGUUUGUCCCCAGAAGGCUAGUUUAUUCCCUGGAGUGGCUUGUGUUGUAAAAAUUAGAUGACAUCAUAUAACGUAUGUCCAUUCACACUACAUGUGCUUGAAACAGGAGAUCCGGAAAAUGCCCAGAGGUUCGGAACCAAAGUAUUAAGAACCCAACUGAUCAGUCAGAUCAAUCUCCAGUGGUCUCACUCACAGGAGUUGCAUCUUCAGACAUCUGUACCUGAACUUCAUGAACAUACCAAGCACAUGAGUCUAAUUCUAGUUCCAAUGCCAUGGCACACAUGAUAGACUAGAUUUCUAUAAUCAGAUGUUCAUAUGCCCCAUAACCCAUUUGAAAAUACUAGCUAAUUAUUCGAUUCUUGCCUAUUUUCCUAGCGAUGUAUCUACCCUUUCAUUUGGGUAUUUCUGCAUUGAAUCCAGGCUCAAAUUUUUUCAGCUGAGAAAGUAACACUCAACUCAGCAGGUCCCUUGCAGUAGCUAUUCUCUUCAUCCUCAAAAAACAAAAUCAAAAGGAACUGGGUUUCUUAUGGGACAUCCAAAUUAGGUUGGUACAAACUCAUAGAUUAUUUUCACUUUCCGGCAGGAGUUGAUUGGUUCCAGAGAAAAAACCCUGGAAAGGGAAUGAAUUAUGAAACAAGAAGAGAAGUAAGCAUCAAAUAUGCACUCCAACAGCAAAUCCUUCAUCCCAACAAGUGCCAAAUAUUCAGGAUUCAGGCUUCUGCAGCAUCACAGUCAUCGCAUAAAAUCACCCAUAAACAUCAAAAUAGGGGAUAUUCUUGCUCAAACUUUCAAUGAUGUCAUCCUCCAAUGAUUCUACAUACUGAAGCACCCAAAUUUCAUUAAACAUUGUCUCAUUCUCACCAAGUUAUUUGGUAAAACACUAAAUAAAUUACAAGCUUUGAAGUCCUCUCCAUUACAUCGAUUGGAGUCCAAAAAUACCUACUGUCCUGUUCUCUGUUUCCAUUCCCAUUUCUUGGUCAGGCACGGAGCAUAAGACUAAAACCCAAGAAAACUGAAGAACCAUGUGAGGCCCUAGAAAACCAAAGGGCAAUAUUGGGGCUUUUAUGAAACCUUGUCAAAUAUAACACCACCAUACAGACCCAAAAUCAAAACUGCAUAUAUGUAAAGUUUAUUUUUGCAAGAUUAUGGUAUAUGUAGGUAUAUACAGGCCUUUACCUCGCACCUAACAAGGCUCUCAUAGUUCAUCCCUGGACAUCGAAAAGGCCCAAAAAGAUCCAGAGCCAAGAGAAUCAUCACUCCUGAGCUGAUUAAAGAUCAGUUUCCAUGCAUAAUCUGGCACGCAUUUGCUAUCUGAUAUCCUCCACUAAGCAUACAAGGUUUUCUCUUUCUGCAGGAACCAGCAAGAAAAACUUCCACCUGCUGAAAAUGAAACAAUGAAGACUCAACUGAAAAUUCAAGAAACAGUUUUUUGUCUAAUGCACUUGAAAAGGAUGUGCCCAAUAACCAUUAUUUCAAUGAGAAAUGUAUUUGGAAGUGAACUGCUACUAGUAAUGAAAUCUGGGAGAAGCUCAUGCAAUUCGGCGUCGAGCACGUUCUUUUACAGAAGUGAGCUUUACAACCCUCUUUUUCUUGUGCCCAUCCACAUUGAUUAAGCCAUUUCUAUUCUCAGAAGAAAUUGAUUUUCCAAAUUUCAGAUCUUCAGCACCAAUCAUAUAGAUAUUUCCUGCUACUGGCACACUAAAAUCAGCUGGAUUUUUGUUAAUGCUGCAGAUUUCCGUCUCAGACCUGCUGUUGAUAGGCCAAAAAGUUCCACCAUUACAGUGGGUCUCCAAUGCAAUGCAUUCAAUUGAAUUUUCAAUCGUGUGAGGUUGCAAAGGAAACCUCAUUGAGUUGGAAGCACCAGGGAACCUUUUCUGCGUAUCAUGGAUAGGGAUAGAUUCAUGAUUUGUGCCAGAAUAAUCACCACAUGUGGAUGAAGAUUUUCUUGAUGUGCAGCCUCUGUUCUGAAUAGGUGGAGGAAGUACUUUUGAUUUCUCUUUUCCUCGAGAUCUUGGGAGAACUUGAUCUAUUAAACCAGCAGGCUUAAAAUUCCCAUCCUUUUGACUUGAAGAAGCAAAGGCACCAACUGACGUAACAGCAAGAGAACACGCACAGGAUCUUUCUGCAAGGUGAUUUUUACCACAAUGAUCAGAUGAUGGUUGUCUUGAGGAAUUUCUGGCCUUAUAUGCACCAAUCUCCAGGCCUGAGAACUCCCUAGAGUCAUAAUCACGAGGAAAAGCAGAUUUCUUAAGGAAUUUUGAAUCUCCAUCCAUACUGAAGGGGGUCCUUGAUUGCAUCCCUGAAUCCAUGAGGCUAAGUAAAUGCAUAGCUGGUAUGUUUUCAUUGGAAUACAGAUCUAAAGACCCCACGAGCUUUGGAUGAAGCUUGAUCCCAUUAUCUUUGCAAGCAAACGGAUAUUCCACAUGUGCUCUGUUCAAAGUUUCAGAACCAAUGCUCCUGUUCUGCUUUUCAAGGUCAAAAGCAUUUGAAUUUAAGAACUUCAGAUCUUGUUCGCCAGUCAUUUUUCUUUUGUGAAGCAUGUUUGACGAAUGUGAAAUCAUAUCCAUGUUAUUUGAAUGAGUUGCACAUUCUUGAGGAAUGCUGAAUCCAAAAGCCAUGUGAUUUGGUGUCAUGGCUGACCAAACAUGAGCAGCUUCUUCACUCUGUUGAGGAGCGUUGUAGCAUGCAUUGUAUGCUUCAAAGGCAUGCAAACUAGUAUGAGAAGACCUCUGCCCCACCAUAUCUCUACUCCACUUGCAAUUUGAAGCACCAUUAUGUCGGCUGGGACCAGGACAAGAAAAUUGAACACCACUAGAUGGCUUCUCUUGACACACUGGAAAUGCUAUAACCCCAGUAGAGCCAUGAGUUCCUUCUGGUUGAGCCAUAUUGAAAUGGUUCCUACUGCUAAAAUGAGAAAAAUAACUACCUGACUUCUCUCUGCUGGAUCCUACAUUUUCAGCUGUUGUGAACAUACUAUUUCUUCCAUAGCUGGACUGAGGUUUUUGCCUGUGGCUGUUUUCCUCCUGCAACAAUCUGAAUGCCCCAUUAGCAUAUACUUUAGUGAAAUCCAGCAUUCCAGCAUUCCUUGUGUCAUUGGUUGUCUCUGAAAGAUGAUAAUCAUUUCUAGUUUCAGAAAGACACCU